GACGAACGCUGGUGGCGUGCUUAACACAUGCAAGUCGAACGGGAUUUCGUAAACAGAAGCCUCGGUGGAAGAUUACUAAUGCGAUUGGCGAAAGGGUGAGUAACGCGUGAGCAACCUUCCUAUGACAGUGGGAUAGCCUCGGGAAACCGGGAUUAAUACCGCAUAAAAUCGUACAAACACAUUUUUUAACGGUCAAAGAUUUAUCGGUCAUAGAUGGGCUCGCGUCUGAUUAGCUAGUUGGUGAGAUAACAGCCCACCAAGGCGACGAUCAGUAGCCGGUCUGAGAGGAUGAACGGCCACAUUGGAACUGAGACACGGUCCAAACUCCUACGGGAGGCAGCAGUGGGGAAUAUUGCACAAUGGGGGAAACCCUGAUGCAGCGACGCCGCGUGAACGAAGAAGGUAUUCGUAUCGUAAAGUUCUGUCCUAUGGGAAGAUAAUGACAGUACCAUAGAAGAAAGCUCCGGCUAAAUACGUG
This 478-nucleotide ribosomal RNA is filed under the name uncultured bacterium. Its description in RNAcentral is "partial 16S ribosomal RNA". It matches the Rfam family "Bacterial small subunit ribosomal RNA", at positions 28 to 507 of the family's 1533-position model. The record is from RNAcentral.